GGCGCAGUGGCACAUUGGUUAGCACUGCUGCCUAACAAUAAGGUGGUUCCUGGUUCGAGCCCUGGCCGGCCA
Molecule: non-coding RNA, 72 nt
Organism: Gymnothorax javanicus (giant moray)
Lineage: Eukaryota; Metazoa; Chordata; Actinopteri; Anguilliformes; Muraenidae
Source: the annotation of a GenBank genome assembly